Molecule: ribosomal RNA, 468 nt
Filed under: uncultured bacterium
Lineage: Bacteria
Description: partial 16S ribosomal RNA
Rfam family: Bacterial small subunit ribosomal RNA
Source: RNAcentral
GACGAACGCUGGCGGCGUGCUUAACACAUGCAAGUCGAACGGAAAGGCCAUGCUUUUGUGGGGUGCUCGAGUGGCGAACGGGUGAGUAACACGUGAGUAACCUGCCCUUGACUUUGGGAUAACUUCAGGAAACUGGGGCUAAUAACGGAUAGGAGCUCCUGCUGCAUGGUGGGGGUUGGAAAGUUUCGGCGGUUGGGGAUGGACUCGCGGCUUAUCAGCUUGUUGGUGGGGUAGUGGCUUACCAAGGCUUUGACGGGUAGCCGGCCUGAGAGGGUGACCGGCCACAUUGGGACUGAGAUACGGCCCAGACUCCUACGGGAGGCAGCAGUGGGGAAUAUUGCACAAUGGGCGGAAGCCUGAUGCAGCAACGCCGCGUGCGGGAUGACGGCCUUCGGGUUGUAAACCGCUUUCGCCUGUGACGAAGCGUGAGUGACGGUAAUGGGUAAAGAAGCACCGGCUAACUACGUG